CUCCGCAUCUCCCUCCUCCAUGAAUGUGGCCACUUGCUGCCCCUUGCCUCUUCCCUUUCUACUCGUCUCAUGGACGACGAAGGAGAGAGCGACGGGGCACGAGCAUCCUCACCACAGCACAAAAGGGUACAUCCACCUUCUUAGUUGUGGUUAAGUGACGGCUUGCCGAAUUGGCGGCGGCGACGGUAGCCCUCGCUCCUCUCCCCCUUUCUCGGAAUCAUGGCCUCCUCUUUGCUCAAGCUCGUCGUACAUAUUGCACAAGUGAUUCAUUAGGGCGGCAUCAACGCAGGAGGCUCAGGGUGGCCGUAGCGGCCGCGAGGAGGUAUCCCAUGGAGUUCAUCAACCGGACGAGGGCAAGGGUGCCGAUUUUCCUCCCCCUACUUCCAAUCCCGGUGUGUCCACCAUCGACCAAAUCUUCACUACGCCAGGAAGAAGAUGCUGCUUCAGCUUCCGUUUCUAGCUCUGCUUGAGCUGCUUCGUCUGUUUCUCUUGAUGUGGGUGUCGGUCUUUUGAUAUCUCUUCUCUCACUUUCGGAGCACAGUUGGUCCUAAAUUUGAAAACCAACAAAGGUGACUUCUUCCUUAUUCACACGCCUUGAUGCACCUUUUUUCGUGUUCAAUCUCGCCUGAGAGCAGUGCAUCGAUACAACAGAGUUCUUAUUCUUACCCUUCAAAAGACCGGGAAAGGUCAUUCUAGGCUCUUUAUCAGAUGUCUCAUUCCAUCCUUUACCUUGUGCCAUGCAGGAUUCCUAGAUCGAUUGAAUGAUCAAUUCGAACUUUAGGAACGUAGUCCCUUUGGCCACACAGGAAAAGGUUCAUUGUUUUAUUUGAAGUAGUGAAACUAAUCAACCAAGCGAAGCAAAAGAAAUACAAGUAGUGAUUAUUAUUAAAAGAUUGGAAUGCUAUUAAGCAUAACAAGACGCUAGCUCACAUUGGCAUCUUUCAACCUUUCGGAUAACUUCUCUCCACACUAACCAAGAAGAGCAGGGCGGUUUUACUACCAUUAGCGAGUAGUUCCCUCUCCAUUUUGCAAUACAAAUAUAAGAUCACUAUUAUUAUGAGUGGUGAAAGCGAAAGCAAUAGUCACGUACUGGAAUCCCAGUAAAGAAGAGUGAUUUUCGUCAGAAAGAAUCCUUCGCGAUGGAAAUGCCCUCGCCUACUUGACUAAACUAAGGACCUCAACGGUAUAAUGUAGAUUUUCU
Long non-coding RNA from Triticum dicoccoides, 1201 nucleotides. RefSeq lists it as uncharacterized. NCBI's taxonomy places the organism in Eukaryota, Viridiplantae, Streptophyta, Magnoliopsida, Poales, Poaceae. The record is from RefSeq and is a predicted model, not a curated record. The transcript has 3 exons.